GAUGAACGCUAGCUACAGGCUUAACACAUGCAAGUCGAGGGGUAACGAGAGGAAAGCUUGCUUUCCUUGUCGACGACCGGCGCACGGGUGAGUAACGCGUAUCCAACCUGCCCCCAACUAGGGAAUAACCUUGCGAAAGUAAGACUAAUACCCUAUAAUUUCCUCAGAUGUCAUCUGACGAGGAAUAAAGAUUUAUCGGUUGUGGAUGGGGAUGCGUCUGAUUAGCUUGUUGGCGGGGGAACGGCCCACCAAGGCAACGAUCAGUAGGGGUUCUGAGAGGAAGGUCCCCCACAUUGGAACUUGGACACGGUCCAAACUCCUACGGGAGGCAGCAGUGAGGAAUAUUGGUCAAUGGGCGGAAGCCUGAACCAGCCAAGUAGCGUGCAGGAUGACGGCCCUAUGGGUUGUAAACUGCUUUUAUACAGGAAUAAAGUUAGCCACGUGUGGUUAUUUGUAGGUACUGUAUGAAUAAGGACCGGCUAAUUCCGUGCCAGCCGCCGCCGUAA
This 506-nucleotide ribosomal RNA is filed under the name uncultured bacterium. RNAcentral's name for it is "partial 16S ribosomal RNA". It matches the Rfam family "Bacterial small subunit ribosomal RNA", at positions 28 to 523 of the family's 1533-position model. The record is from RNAcentral.